RNAcentral lists this ribosomal RNA (250 nucleotides) under uncultured bacterium. RNAcentral describes it as "partial 16S ribosomal RNA". It matches the Rfam family "Bacterial small subunit ribosomal RNA", at positions 524 to 773 of the family's 1533-position model. RNAcentral also lists the same sequence under 1 other name. The record is from RNAcentral.
UACGUAGGGGGCAAGCGUUAUCCGGAUUUACUGGGUGUAAAGGGAGCGCAGACGGCAAUGCAAGUCUGAAGUGAAAGGCGUGGGCUCAACCCAUGAACUGCUUUGGAAACUGUAUAGCUUGAGUGUCGGAGGGGUAAGCGGAAUUCCUAGUGUAGCGGUGAAAUGCGUAGAUAUUAGGAGGAACACCGGAGGCGAAGGCGGCUUACUGGACGACAACUGACGUUGAGGCUCGAAGGCGUGGGGAGCAAAC